Non-coding RNA from Octopus bimaculoides (California two-spot octopus), 47 nucleotides. The record is from Rfam. Lineage: Eukaryota; Metazoa; Mollusca; Cephalopoda; Octopoda; Octopodidae.
UAAAAGGUUCUCUUCAGGACCACCAACUAUAAAUUAUCACUGGAUUU